Magnolia sinica is the source of this 2952-nucleotide RNA transcript. RefSeq lists it as uncharacterized. The transcript is spliced from 2 exons. Lineage: Eukaryota; Viridiplantae; Streptophyta; Magnoliopsida; Magnoliales; Magnoliaceae. The record is from RefSeq and is a predicted model, not a curated record.
GGCAAAAAGAAAUUUGAUUUGUUUUGUAUACUUCCUUAUCCAAUCAUUUUCAUUAUGGAUUUCAUUUUUUAACUUCCAGCACUUUUCGGAAGUAUCUUUUCAUGCAGUGUGAUUUUUUUUUUUCUUCUUGUUUGAUAGAUGAUGAAAUUAGGGGUGCACAUUCAAUUGGUUUUUUGCAGGAAUUGUAAUUAGAUUCUUCUUAGCAUGUUCGCGCUGCUUCCUCCAAGGCUACUCUGAAUCAACCAACAAUCAGAGUUGUAGCUAUAAUAGCUGAAGGUUGUAAAGAAGCCUCCACCUACUCUAAUGGAGAACACAUAAUCAAAAGUGAAAAAUAAGCAAGAGGAGGCCAAAGCCAGUGAGAUGAAAGCGGCUGGGGUUGGACUAAAAGUUAGUUGGAAAUUUGGUCAAAAUGCAAUUCUAUAGGCCAAUCUUUCUACACAAGAGAGCAGUAAUGGUAUGGCCUUUCUGAUGAUUUAAUAGGCUAGAACAUUGGUUUGCUAUGUUCCACUGUGGAUGGACUCUGACAUGCUCCAAAAAUCUACUCAGCCGGAUAAUUUUAAAGUUUUUAUUCAGGAGAAUCUCGACCACAAGGUUUCACAUGUAAACUCCUAGAAGCCAAAUCCUGUUUUUUAGUAUCUAAAACUUCCCUGCCAUUAUUUCAAAUCACAGGCGAUGGACCACAAUUUGUGGGCUUGAUGUUUGUAAUCUAGAUGUAAAAUACCUCUGUUAAGAGUGGUCUAGAUGUUGCACAAGUUGAUAUUGGUUUGUGUACUGCAAAUUGCCUCUUCAAUCUCUCCUCAUGCCAGUCAACCUAGCAUUUCUCAUCGAUAUUUUCAGAAAUUGACCUUUUUUUGGAGAUUUCUUUGUUUGGAUUUUAUUUAUUUAUUAUUAUUUUUUUUUUUGCAGUGAGUUGUGAAAAACCAUGGUGGAUCUGUUCUAGCUUGCUCAUUUUGAGUUUUCCUCACAUGAGUUGUGAAAAACCCAUGAGUUGCGUUGCUAUUUAGUAGGAAGGAAUGCCUGGGUUCAUUUGGUUGUUAUGUGUGAUAUUCCUUUCCUUUCUCUUUGGUUUUUAUUCCUCUGUUAUACUGUAUUAGAAAUUUGAUUUGGUAUGUCAACUUGCAGUUUUUGAAGGUUGAAGGUAGGUUGUUGCCAAAAAAAAAGGGACCAUUCUGUGUAGGUGUUUAGUUUACUUGCUUGGAUCUGCUAUGGCAGAUGAUGAAACGAUUCUGAGUAACCAGAGAAGAGGCCUAUGCUAAGUGAUUUGUUUGGAUGCUCCAUUGGAUUGGAUUUGUUUUAGUUCAAUAAAGUCAUGUAAUAUCAGCUCAACUCCUUUUCUUUUUCUUUUCUAAAUUAACAUGUGCUGAAUUUUAUAUUGAAAUCUGAAUUCCCUUUUUCUGAAGGUGCAUUCUUAUUGGAUGCUUGUUUUGGUCUUUUGGAUAUGCAUGUAUUGAAUUUUUGUAACAAAAACAUGAUCUUUGCACUAACAAUAACAUGCUUUAUAACUUGGCUAUGGAACAAACUUUUUGGGAACAAAAUUAUUGGAACUUAGUGUUCUAUGUUUUGGGAACAAAAACUAUUUGGCUCAACAUUAUAAAUCUUACUCAGCCAGAAAAAUCGAAACAAGGGAGCUUUACAAAUCAUUUUCCACCGGAAAGAUUCGAAAAGAGAAUCUCAUGGAUGCUUGACAAAGGUUCAACAACUGGCCGUCCACCUAACAUCAACAAUCCUCCUUCACCCCAGCUGCUGACAGGUUGAAGCAAUUACUACCAGGCAUAGUUAAUGGUCAAAAUGGUGUUGUUUUGCUCGCAAUUGGGGUUUAGCUGUUCGGCAUGGAACCGGCAUCAGAGAUACACGACAAGAUUUUAUUUAUGAUUAAUAAUAUUUCAGCUUCAAAUAUGGAUGUGAAAGCAAAAGAAUUUACUGAUGUCCGGAAAGAGCAGUACUAUCCAUGGUUUGCUCAGUAUAUGGUGAUAAAAAGGUGAGAAAAAUCUUAUGAAUAACCUUUUAGUUUCAUCAGCUGAUUUUUACUUUACCGGGACAUUAUAUUUGACAGAGCAAGCAUUGAGCCAAAUUUUCAUGAGCUGUACUUGAAGUUCCUGGAGAAAGUUAAUUCAAGAAUGCUGAAUAAGGAGAUUGUCAAAGCUACUUGUGAGAAUUGCAAGGUGCCUUCGCAAAACUUUUUUGUUACCCCUGGUUGUCAUCGUCACCAUACACUUUACAAUCUCCCAUAGACAUGGACGAAUGAGGUCCAGCCAGAGCUUCUACAAGGGAUCUUCAAGUGCUUGGAAUGCAGUUUUGUCAUCAGGAACGUCGAACAACAAUUCAAAUACACUGAGGUGCUUUCAACUCCUUUAAAAAACCAACCAUCCACUCUUUUUUUCAACUUCCACAAAAAGAAGUGUGGCUGUAAGCACACCAAUGACUACUAGGAAGACAGUUGCACAAUAAGUGAAUAAAAAUUUCUGCAACCAGCCAUAAGGAGGUGGUGGUGGUGGUGGUGUUGGGCCAAUUCAACCCCUCCUUCUAAAAAUUGAUCAUAUCAGAUAAAUGUGACAACACAUUGCUCAAUGUAAUAUUUUGGUAACAUAGCCGAUCAUGCUUCUGGAUGUUUCGGUUCUCAUGUUUAAGCAGCCGCCUUGGCUUUAGACUUCUUUCCUUUCGUCUCUGGCGCUGGGCUGUUCUGGAAGGGAAGGAAGGCAGUACCUAUGAAGGGUUGUAAAGGUGCUGGAAUCUCAACGCCAUCUUCCUUUUGGUAAUUUUCAAAAAUACAGCAAAUGGUACUUUCUGUUGCUGUGAGGGUAGAGUAACAAAUGACUGCCUGUUUUUUCUUUCUUUUGCAGAAUAUUGUGGAGUCCACCUGCUUUCAUGAAUUACUAGGAAACUAAUUUUGUAAUUGUAAUUGUAAUUGAUUGAAUGAAGGAUUGGAAUUGAAUGAAUGAAUGAUUAUGCAGG